UACGAAGGGGGCUAGCGUUGUUCGGAAUUACUGGGCGUAAAGCGUGCGCAGGCGGUUGUGCAAGACAGGUGUGAAAUCCCCGGGCUUAACCUGGGAACUGCGCUUGUGACUGCACGACUAGAGUACGGUAGAGGGGGGUGGAAUUCCUGGUGUAGCAGUGAAAUGCGUAGAUAUCAGGAGGAACAUCGAUGGCGAAGGCAGCCCCCUGGACCUGUACUGACGCUCAUGCACGAAAGCGUGGGGAGCAAACAGGA
This 254-nucleotide ribosomal RNA is filed under the name uncultured bacterium. RNAcentral describes it as "partial 16S ribosomal RNA". It matches the Rfam family "Bacterial small subunit ribosomal RNA", at positions 524 to 777 of the family's 1533-position model. The record is from RNAcentral.